Molecule: non-coding RNA, 45 nt
Filed under: Schistosoma mattheei
Lineage: Eukaryota; Metazoa; Platyhelminthes; Trematoda; Strigeidida; Schistosomatidae
Source: RNAcentral
AUCCAGUUGACGAGUCCCAAAUAGGACGAAAAGCGCAUCCUGGAU